This 456-nucleotide ribosomal RNA is filed under the name Sertularella cf. unituba CM-2011. Its description in RNAcentral is "partial 16S ribosomal RNA". It matches the Rfam family "Bacterial large subunit ribosomal RNA", at positions 1919 to 2542 of the family's 2925-position model. The record is from RNAcentral. Lineage: Eukaryota; Metazoa; Cnidaria; Hydrozoa; Leptothecata; Sertulariidae.
AAAAUUAAAAGGACGCGGUAACCUUGACCGUGAUAAUGUAGCAUAAUCAUUCGCCAUUUAAUUGAUGGAUAGUAUGAAUGGUUGAACGAAUAUUCCACUGUCUUAAAAAGAAAUAAACAAAAAUUAGAAUAAUAGUAAAGAUACUAUUUAAAAUUGUAAGACGAAAAGACCCUAUAGAGCUUAACUAUAAUCUUUCUUUUUAAUAUUAACAGAAAGAUUGGUAGUUUAGUUGGGGCGACUGUCUUUUAAAAUUAACAAAGACAAGCAAAAUUAAUAUUAAAAUUUAUUGUAUAAUACAUAAAUUUAACAAUUACAAAAGUAGGCUAUAAUGACCCGUUAUUAUUUUAUAAAAAAAAUAACGAUCAAUAAAUAAAAGCUACCUUAGGGAUAACAGGAUAAUUUUAUUCUAGAGAUCUAAUCGAAAAUAAAGUUUGUCACCUCUAUGUUGAAUUAAGA